AGUGUUGUUACGUUUAGGUUAGGUUUUGGAUGUCAAUCUUGAUGUUAGUUUAAAUAAAUAAUAAGUAGAACCAUUUAGCAUACAAAUGCUAAGAGAAGUGGAACACAAGUAACGUGUAUUGGAAACCCCUGCUCAACCAACUUAUACACUCGAUCGCCUCCAUCCAGAAACUAUGGCACCAUGCGGCAAUCGUGGGACAUACACACACCUCCAAGCACGAAUUCACCAUCCUGCCGAAAGAGUUGUGGAAUCGAAGGAAAAGAGGUGCCGAGGCCGACACGAUGAAGAGUCGUACAUCACAACGUACAAGGAGAGCAUUCGGGUAAUGCACUCUCUCACUCUCUCACGAUCAUCGCUGUGGAGCGUGCUCGCAAGCCAAUUUAGGGCACGAUCGUCAUCUCAAUUACUCUCGCUCACACGAUCAGUACUUGGACUGUAUGCUAGGCAGCACGGGGAAGAAUAACGGAGACCAGUCGACACGAACUCGUAGAUCAAGCCAGAUGUGGGUAUAGUCACGUGACCGCAUCGGUGGUGUAGUGCUUUAUGGCAUAACGAAGUUCAAGCGCGAUUUCCGUAGAGUCCGGAGCGACACUAAAUCGGGCGGUGGAGUCAUCCUGAAUAUUGAAAGGCGUCCGACGCGUGAUCUUAUAUGCUCUAGCCAGUGGUCACGUCAACCGAUAGUUGUGGAACGAUAUAACUCGAACGGAACGAUCAGUGUCCUGCUCUUUGGCUUUAGGAGUGUAUCGUACAAAAGGCCCCAUCCAGGGGCCUUUAAGCGUAUCGACUGUUCCUCCACUUGGCGUCGUUGUCAAAUUGGCGUCACUAUGCACUCAUGGUAUGGCAUCGGGAGAGGCGGCGAAGAAGAGGUAGCCGUUUGGAGUCUAUCUCAAUGCAAAUCUGGCGGUGAUCAAGGGAGAGAGGGGAUCAUCAGCGCUUGCUCCGCCGCGUGUAGGAGAAAUGUCCGCAGCAG
Long non-coding RNA from Aedes albopictus (Asian tiger mosquito), 970 nucleotides. RefSeq lists it as uncharacterized. The record is from RefSeq and is a predicted model, not a curated record. The transcript is spliced from 3 exons. Lineage: Eukaryota; Metazoa; Arthropoda; Insecta; Diptera; Culicidae.